GUNGGGAAUUUUUCACAAUGGGCGAAAGCCUGAUGGAGCAAUCCCGCGUGGAUGAUGAAGGUCUUAUAUAGAUUGUAAAAUCCUUUUAUUGGAGACGAACGGCAGGAAGAGGAAAUGCUUUCUGUGUGACGGUAUCCUUUGAAUAAGUAUCGGCUAACUAUGUGCCAGCAGCCGCGGUAAUACAUAGGAUGCAAGCGUUAUUCGGAUUUACUGGGCGUAAAGAGAGCGCGGGCGGAUCUGCAAGUCUGGUGUGAAAUACAACUGCUUAACGGUUGUAUGCAUUGGAAACUGCAAAUCUAGAGUGUAGUAGAGAGUUUUGGAACUCCAUGUGGAGCGGUGGAAUGCGUAGAUAUAUGGAAGAACACCAGUGGCGAAGGCGAAAACUUGGGCUAUUACUGACGCUUAUGCUCGAAAGUGUGGGGAGCAAAUAGGAUUAGAUACCCUAGUAGUCCACACCGUAAACGAUGGUAAUUAAAUGUUGGCAUGGAAUAUGUCGGCGUUGCAGUUAACACAUUAAAUUACCCGCCUGGGUAGUACAUUCGCAAGAAUGAAACUCAAACGGAAUUGACGGGGACCCGCACAAGUGGUGGAGCAUGUUGCUUAAUUCGACAAUACACGUAAAACCUUACCUGGGUUUGACAUCCUUUGCAAAGCUAUAGAGAUAUAGUGGAGGUAACAUNUUNNUCCNGUGUGNAUUUNC
RNAcentral lists this ribosomal RNA (700 nucleotides) under Malacoplasma iowae. RNAcentral's name for it is "bacterial SSU rRNA". It matches the Rfam family "Bacterial small subunit ribosomal RNA", at positions 354 to 1041 of the family's 1533-position model. Lineage: Bacteria; Bacillati; Mycoplasmatota; Mycoplasmoidales; Mycoplasmoidaceae. The record is from RNAcentral.